AGUUAAAAAGCUAGUAGUUGGAUUUUGGUUAAGAGGGCGCGGUCGGCCGUUUGGUCUGUACUGCGUUGUCUUGACUUCCUGAUGAGGACAUGCUCUUGGUUAACGCUGAGACAUGGAGUCAUCGUGGUUACUUUGAAAAAAUUAGAGUGUUCAAAGCGGGCUUACGCUUGAAUAUAUUAGCAUGGAAUAACACUAUAGGACUCCUGUCCUAUCUCGUUGGUCUCGGGAUGGGAGUAAUGAUUAAGAGGAACAGUUGGGGGCAUUCGUAUUUCAUUGUCAGAGGUGAAAUUCUUGGAUUUAUGAAAGACGAACUUCUGCGAAAGCAUUUGCCAAGGAUGUUUUCAUUAAUCAAGAACGAAAGUUGGGGGCUCGAAGAUGAUUAGAUACCAUCCUAGUCUCAACCAUAAACGAUGCCGACUAGGGAUUGGUGGAUGUUAAUUGAUGACUUCACCAGCACCUUAUGAGAAAUCAAAGUUUUUGGGUUCCGGGGGGAGUAUGGUCGCAAGGCUGAAACUUAAAGGAAUUGACGGAAGGGCACCACCAGGCGUGGAGCCUGCGGCUUAAUUUGACUCAACACGGGGAAAACUUACCAGGUUCCAGACAUAAGUUAUGAUUGAC
This 618-nucleotide ribosomal RNA is filed under the name uncultured marine eukaryote. RNAcentral's name for it is "SSU rRNA". It matches the Rfam family "Eukaryotic small subunit ribosomal RNA", at positions 617 to 1244 of the family's 1831-position model. The record is from RNAcentral.